GUUUCCGUAGGUGAACCUGCGGAAGGAUCAUUCACACAUUCAUUCGGUUGAACACAACAGUGUUUUAAUCUGGUUAUUAUCUGCAGUGCAAACUGUAUGGUGGUAGCCAUGGUUGGGGCUGGUUGUAGUAACACCCGAACGCAUACAUAUACAACCUCUAACCAUUCCAACUUUUGAAUCUAUUUUCUCCCACCCCACAACGUUUUUUCUACUUAUUGAUACGUAAAAAGAUGCCUUUUAUCUUGUUUACACACCCCACAUGUUAAUGUGGGAUUCUCGUGUGAACAUAGAUAUUGUUGGGCAAGGUCACUUGGAUUCAAAAACGAAAGCCAAAAAACUUUCAGCAAUGGAUGUCUUGGCUCGCGCAUCGAUGAAGGACGCAGCGAAAUGCGAUACGCAUUGUGAAUUGCAGAUUUCAGUGAACCAUCAGAUUUCGGAACGCAUAUGGCGCUGCAGGGAUUUCCCUGCAGCACGUCUGUUUCAGUGUCUUUUAACCACACCCCACAGUAAACCGUUGUCACGCUAUUCGAAGAUAUCCUUUUGAAUAUAUAUAGACGAAAUGAAAUAACAUUAUUUCAGAUUAGUUUCUAUAUAUAUCUCAGAGGGAUGGAUUGGCUUUUUCGAAUGCGUGCGGUGGUGUCUUAUGGACGUCGGUCGAUGAACGAGCAGUCGCAGUCGUUUGAUCGUCGUCUGAAGAUCGGUUGAGCUCUUUCGCUGGCGCUUUAUGACGCGAGGUGUAAAGAAAGAGGCUUUGGAUAACAUUGCAUUGCUUGUAAUGUAAAGCCUACCUAUAUAUCCUUUCAUUCGAAAGAGAUAUGGUGGUGAAAGUGUGCACACUUUUUGUGUGUACAGUUCUUCGUCUUAUCUCUGUAAUAAUCGGAUUAAAGGACCAGCAACCGCAGGUGGCAUAUAUACAUUAUACACACAGCCAUAUAUCUCACUUUUGUAGUGGGGUAUGUGUGUGCGUGUGUGUGUGUGUAUUUUUUUCCCCUGCAUCGUUGAUGGUGUGUGGGCAAGCAAGCAGCGCUUUGUGAUCUCUGCUUCUUUUGAAUGCUUGCAUAUUUUAUGCCUUGCGUGUUGCUAGCAAAACAAAGAGUAAUAAAUACAGCAUUAUAAUAUAUUAGACCUGAAAUCAGUCGAGAUUACCCGCUGAAUUUAA
Molecule: ribosomal RNA, 1159 nt
Filed under: Eimeria callospermophili
Lineage: Eukaryota; Apicomplexa; Conoidasida; Eucoccidiorida; Eimeriidae
Description: eukaryotic LSU rRNA
Rfam family: 5.8S ribosomal RNA (bases 336-489)
Source: RNAcentral